CUAAAUUAAAAUUAUAAAAAUCUGAAGGUAAUAUUCACAAGUGUCAUAUAUCAGAGUUAGAUAGUAAUCUGUCUUUUUCAUCUUCACUUUCGAAUGGCUACUUCUACCUGUUUUUUUAUUUUGCCAGGUGGUUAGAUGAACGUCAUGCACAAUCUCACUUUAUUCCAGCUUUAUUCCGACCUUCUCCUCUUGAGCGGAUAAAAACUAAUGUCAUAAAUCCUGCAUAUGCUACUGAAUCAGGUCAGACAGAAAACUCACUACAUAUGGGCUAUAGUGCACUAGAAAUAAAGAGUAAAAUGUUAGCCCUAGAGAAAGCAGAUACCUGUAUUUACAACCCUUUGUUUGGAUCAGAUCUUCAGUAUACAAAUCGGGUAGAUAAAGUGGUAAUAAAUCCAUACUUUGGUCUAGGAGCUCCAGACUACUCAAAAAUCCAAAUACCUAAACAGGAAAAAUGGCAGAGAAGCAUGAGCAGUGUCACAGAAGACAAGGAACGACAGUGGGUAGAUGAUUUUCCUCUCCACCGAAGCGCCUGUGAAGGAGAUUCAGAAUUACUAAGCCGUCUUCUCAGUGAAAGAUUUUCAGUCAACCAAUUAGAUAGUGACCACUGGGCACCCAUUCAUUAUGCAUGCUGGUAUGGAAAAGUUGAGGCCACUCGCAUAUUGUUAGAGAAAGGAAAGUGCAAUCCAAACCUUUUAAAUGGACAACUUAGUUCUCCUCUUCAUUUUGCUGCUGGAGGAGGACAUGCUGAAAUAGUACAGAUUCUCCUAAACCACCCAGAAAUUGAUAGACAUAUAACAGACCAACAAGGAAGAUCUCCAUUAAAUAUUUGUGAAGAAAACAAACAAAACAACUGGGAAGAAGCUGCAAAAUUGUUGAAGGAAGCAAUUAACAAACCAUAUGAAAAAGUUCGAAUAUACAGAAUGGAUGGGUCAUAUCGUUCUGUUGAAUUAAAGCAUGGAAAUAAUACCACAGUGCAGCAGAUAAUGGAAGGAAUGCGUCUCUCUCAAGAAACUCAGCAAUAUUUCACUAUAUGGAUUUGUUCAGAAAACCUCAGCCUUCAACUCAAACCAUAUCAUAAACCCUUGCAACAUGUUCGUGACUGGCCAGAAAUACUUGCUGAAUUGACUAAUCUGGAUCCUCAAAGGGAAACACCUCAGCUUUUUCUAAGAAGAGAUGUGAGACUUCCUUUGGAAGUUGAAAAACAGAUUGAAGACCCACUAGCUAUUCUUAUUCUCUUUGAUGAAGCCAGAUAUAAUUUGUUGAAGGGCUUUUAUACAGCUCCUGAUGCUAAGCUGAUAACAUUGGCAAGUCUGCUUUUGCAAAUAGUCUAUGGAAAUUAUGAGAGUAAAAAACACAAGCAAGGUUUCCUAAAUGAAGAAAAUCUAAAAUCCAUCGUACCUGUUACCAAACUGAAAAGUAAGGCACCUCACUGGACAAAUCGCAUACUUCAUGAAUACAAGAAUCUCAGUACAAGUGAAGGUGUCAGUAAAGAAAUGCAUCACCUUCAGCGCAUGUUCUUACAGAAUUGCUGGGAAAUUCCUACUUAUGGAGCAGCAUUUUUCACAGGACAGAUAUUUACAAAGGCAAGCCCCAGCAAUCAUAAAGUCAUCCCUGUGUAUGUCGGAGUGAAUAUAAAAGGACUUCAUCUCCUCAACAUGGAAACUAAGGCUUUACUCAUCAGUCUUAAGUAUGGUUGUUUUAUGUGGCAAUUGGGAGAUACUGAUACUUGUUUUCAGAUCCAUAGCAUGGAAAAUAAAAUGAGCUUUAUAGUACAUACAAAACAGGCUGGUCUCGUGGUAAAACUGUUAAUGAAGCUAAAUGGACAGUUAAUGCCCACUGAAAGAAAUUCAUGAAAGAGAAGUAACUGUUACUCAAGCCACCACAUUUUGUAAUGCAGAGUUUUUUUUCCGUGAAAGAUUUCUUAAAAUAUUACUUUUGGCCGAGCAUGGUGGCUCACCCCUGUAAUUCCAGCACUUUGGGAGGCUGGGGCAGGCGGAUCACCUGAAGUCAGAGUUCAAGACCAGCCUGGCCAACAUGGUGAAACCCUGUCUCUACAAAAAUACAAAAAUUAGCUGGGUGUGGUGGCGGGCGCCUAUAAUCCUAGCUACUAGGGAGGCCAAGGUGGGAGAUCGCUUAAACCCAGGAGGUGGAGGUUGUAGUGAGCCAAGAUUGCACCACGGCACACUAGCCUGGGUGACACAGCAAGACUCCAUCUCAAAAAAAAAAAAAAUUACUUUCAACAAGGCAUAUAGUCUCUUGUAAUAUAUAUGUAUACUAUUACAUUGUACAGAAUCUGUACUUAUGUUUGGUGUGUAAUAUACCAAUUAGUUUUAUAUAAUAUCCUCAUAAGCUAUUCUAAUUUUUGAGAGAAACACAAAAAGUUAUAGAUUGAUAGUCUGUAUAAUAUUAG
This 2410-nucleotide small RNA is filed under the name Pan troglodytes (chimpanzee). RNAcentral describes it as "retained intron". Lineage: Eukaryota; Metazoa; Chordata; Mammalia; Primates; Hominidae. The record is from RNAcentral.